AAUUAACGCUGGCAGAGUGCAUAACACAUGCAAGUCGAGCGCGACUACCUGAGAUUACAUCAACUGGUAGUUGAGCGGCAGACGAGUGAGUAACACGUAAACAAUCUACCCUCGAAUGGUGAAUAACUAGCCGAAAGGCUAGCUAAUGCGCCGUACUCUCCUUAAUAGGCAUCUAUUGAGGAGGAUAGGCCCGCAAGGGUCGUUGGAGGAGGAGUUUGCGUCCCAUCAGCUAGUUGGCGGUGUAACGGACCACCAA
RNAcentral lists this ribosomal RNA (256 nucleotides) under uncultured bacterium. RNAcentral describes it as "partial 16S ribosomal RNA". It matches the Rfam family "Bacterial small subunit ribosomal RNA", at positions 29 to 271 of the family's 1533-position model. The record is from RNAcentral.